This 270-nucleotide ribosomal RNA is filed under the name uncultured archaeon. Its description in RNAcentral is "partial 16S ribosomal RNA". It matches the Rfam family "Archaeal small subunit ribosomal RNA", at positions 477 to 747 of the family's 1478-position model. The record is from RNAcentral.
CAGCCCCCCGAGUGGUAGGGAUGUUUAUCUGGCCUAAAGCGUCCGUAGCCGGUUUGGUAAAUCUCUCGUUAAAUCCAACGUCCUAAGCGUUGGGCUGCGAGGGAGACUGCCAAGCUAGAGGGUGGGAGAGGUCAGCGGUAUUCCUGGGGUAGGGGCGAAAUCCUUUGAUCCCAGGAGGACCACCAGUGGCGAAGGCUGCUGACUAGAACACGCCUGACGGUGAGGGACGAAAGCUGGGGUAGCGAAUCGGAUUAGAUACCCGAGUAGUCC